CCACAUUUAAAAAUCUCUCAUCAUUCAUAAAUUUUUUACUAACUUGAAAUUCUUGCAAUAAAUUACAUAUGUGAACUAGACUUUUGAUAUCCAAUACUCAAGUAGUAGUGUCACAUAUGGAGAAAUUACAAGGUGUUAUCAUAUAAGUACCUUGAUCAGCAACUAAUUGCUCAUUUCUCUUUGGCCUAUUUGGGUCAUAGUCUGCU
RNAcentral lists this long non-coding RNA (206 nucleotides) under Elaeis guineensis (African oil palm). RNAcentral describes it as "long non-coding RNA (EGUI_LNC003720)". The record is from RNAcentral. Lineage: Eukaryota; Viridiplantae; Streptophyta; Magnoliopsida; Arecales; Arecaceae.